GGCUUCAUAGCUCAGCUGGUAGAGCGCUUGCCGCGCUAAGGCAUGGUGCUUCUGUUGCUGGUUCGAAUCCAGCCGAAGCCC
Molecule: transfer RNA, 81 nt
Filed under: Paragonimus skrjabini miyazakii
Lineage: Eukaryota; Metazoa; Platyhelminthes; Trematoda; Plagiorchiida; Troglotrematidae
Description: Paragonimus miyazakii tRNA
Rfam family: tRNA
About the family: Transfer RNA (tRNA) molecules are approximately 80 nucleotides in length. Their secondary structure includes four short double-helical elements and three loops (D, anti-codon, and T loops).
Source: Rfam by way of RNAcentral